AGAAAACUUCAGCUUUUCCCGGUCAGCAGAUGUACACAAGUCUAGUUAGCAACAUAGAAAGCUAGCACUGUAUCAGACAAAGACUUGUUUCUCUGAGUAAAAAAAAAAUAAUAUCUCAAUUUUCUUCUGAGCACAUUGUAAAACAACUACAGCUGCUCUUAGGAAAAAGGCAUCAUGGAUAGCUCCACAUCAGUGUCGAUUGGGAUAGCCGUGGCGUUUGGGAUCUUGGGAUUGUUCGUGCUGAUCUGUUUGGUGCAGCUCUGCAUCAAGAAAAUCAAAUGUUGCGAUUGCAAAAAGCCUUCAGUGAAAGACAAAAUUUUAAAGAAAGUUGGGAUUACAAAAUCUUCACCUCCGUUUUCAAUCAGCAGACUCGUUGACAAGAAAUAACGGCCAUCAAUGCUCAUAUGACAUUCUCUCAAUGUAAAUACAUAGUGUACAUACCCACCUUUUUUUAUUUUACAACACCUGUAACUAAAUAUUUCCAUAUUAUUAUGAAAUCUGUCGAAUAUUAUUUUUUAUUUCUGUGAAAAGUGUGAAUAACGUUUCUGAGGUAAAGAUGUCAGUGAUGUUAGGGAUGUUGAUGAGUCAUAACUGUUUAAGAUCAUUUUCCCACAGCUAGGGAAAAAACAGCACACCUUCAUUGCUCUAUGCGAUCGCUUCUCUUGUUGUUUUUCUUAUUCUCUGACAUUCUGUGAAUUUUGUCACUGUUUCAGUGUCACCACAGAAACAUAACACAGCCUUCUUCUCAAGCCAAACUGUUUCUAAGUAAAAAAUAAUGUCAAAGGUCACCAUAUGCACUGAUGAAAUAUUAGUCUCUUCAGUCGCAGUAGAAAGAUCACAAUAUCUUCAUUGCGAUUUAUAAGUCCUCUCUGGUGAUAUAUUUCCUGUUAAGCAACAUUAUGUAUGUGAUGAAAUAUUGAUCUUGACUCUAUAAUAAUAUCUGAUUGUAAUUUUUUUAAAGGAAUAUGUAGUCAUAUUUGGUCAGAUUUAUUAGUCUAGUAUAUUAUCCUCUGUACAUAUGUGUGUGUGUGUGUGUGUGUGUGUGUGUGCAUGUGUCUUCAAAUAUUAUCCUUUAUUAGUUGUUUAAUGUUAUUUUUCAGUUCAACUUUCCACUCAAAUUGUUUUGUUCAUAUUCUAUAAAAAAAUAUUCAAUUUAUAAAAUUAGAAGCAUUUUGGACCCCAUUGAACAUUUCUGUUGUGGUUCCUUUUCCUCUUUGUUCUUUGGUUAUCAUCGUUGUUUUUCAUUUGAUUCAGUUUAUGGCAGUGUCUCAUAGCAGCGCACUAAACCGCAAGCCAAACAGAGCUUCAUUAGCUCUUUAACUCAUGCAACUCAUGCAAACAUCUAUAGAGGCUAUUUGCUUCAUGAGCUGGCAAGCAACAAGAAAAGCAUUGCGGUGGUCUGUAGGAAGUGAGAAACAGCAGUUAACAUUUGAGGUUCAACAGCUUUUUAUACUCAGUGACUUUUUUGAGACCAGGCCUGUCAGAAACAUCUGCUGGUCAUGCAAACCCCACAGGAUGAUUAAAAAAAAAAAAAAAAAGCCUUUCUUUAAACCACACAGACACUGACAUGCUACAGUGACUUGACAACUUAAAGAAACACUAAAAAUAAAAUUCUGUCAUUACUUACUCACCCUUAUGACGUUCAAA
This is a long non-coding RNA of Cyprinus carpio (common carp), 1647 nucleotides long. RefSeq lists it as uncharacterized. NCBI's taxonomy places the organism in Eukaryota, Metazoa, Chordata, Actinopteri, Cypriniformes, Cyprinidae. The record is from RefSeq and is a predicted model, not a curated record.